GGGCUCGUGGUCUAGUCUGGUUAGGACAUCGCUCUCACACGGCGAGAAUCCCCGGUUCAAAUCCGGGCGGGCCCACCA
This 78-nucleotide transfer RNA is filed under the name Nitrososphaerota archaeon. RNAcentral's name for it is "Thaumarchaeota archaeon tRNA-Val". It matches the Rfam family "tRNA". From Rfam's summary of the family: Transfer RNA (tRNA) molecules are approximately 80 nucleotides in length. Their secondary structure includes four short double-helical elements and three loops (D, anti-codon, and T loops). Lineage: Archaea; Thermoproteati; Nitrososphaerota. The record is from RNAcentral.